This 392-nucleotide ribosomal RNA is filed under the name uncultured bacterium. RNAcentral describes it as "partial 16S ribosomal RNA". It matches the Rfam family "Bacterial small subunit ribosomal RNA", at positions 523 to 918 of the family's 1533-position model. The record is from RNAcentral.
AUACGGAGGAUCCGAGCGUUAUCCGGAUUUAUUGGGUUUAAAGGGUGCGCAGGCGGCCAUUUAAGUCAGCGGUUAAAUCGUGGGGCUCAACCCCAUUCUGCCGUUGAUACUGGGUGGCUUGAUUGCGGUCGAGGUUGGCGGAAUUCGUUGUGUAGCGGUGAAAUGCAUAGAUAUGACGAAGAACACCGAUUGCGUAGGCAGCUGACCAGACCGCAAAUGACGCUCAUGCACGAGAGUGCGGGGAUCGAACAGGAUUAGAUUCCCUGGUAGUCCGCACAGUAAACGAUGAAUACUUGUUUUCGGCGAUAUAAUGUCGGAGGCAAAGCGAAAGCGAUAAGUAUUCCACCUGGGGAGUACGCCGGCAACGGUGAAACUCAAAUGAAUUGGCGGGG